AUGAGCAAUUCGGCUGCUUUGGCACCAUCAUCACGCGCGUCUGCGUUUCUUGUCUUCUCCCUCGUCUGGUUCUCCAGCCAUGUCCUUGCCGCCGGACACCCAGACUACGCCGACGCGCUCGCCAAGUCGUUGCUCUUCUUCCAGGGGCAGAGGUCCGGCCCCCAGCCGGCGGACCAGGCCGUCAAGUGGAGGUCCAACUCCGCCAUGUCCGACGGCUCGGCCGCAAACGUCGACCUCACCGGCGGCUACUACGACGGCGGCGACAACGUCAAGUUCAAUUUCCCCAUGGCGUUCACCGCGACCAUGCUGUCGUGGAGCAUCAUCGAGUACGGCGGGCGGAUGGAGGCGCGCGUUCACGACGCGCGCGCCGCGGUACGGUGGGCGACGGACUACCUCCUGAAGGCAGCCAAGACGACCCCGGGCAAACUCUACGUCGGAGUGGGCGACGCCGACGCCGACCACCGCUGCUGGGAGCGGCCGGAGGACAUGGACACCCCGCGGAAUGUGUACGAGGUGUCGGCGUCCACCCCGGGGUCCGACGUCGCAGGGGAGACCGCGGCCGCGCUCGCCGCGGCCAGCGUGGUCUUCAAGGCCGCCGACCCGGCUUACUCCAGGAGGCUGGUCGCGGCGGCCAGGGACGUGAUGGCGUUCGCUUGGCAGCAUCAGGGGAAGUACAGCGACCACGUCGGCGGCGGCGUGAGCAACUACUACCCGUCCUACUCCGGCUACAAGGACGAGCUCCUAUGGGGAUCUACAUGGCUGCUCUGGGCGACGAAGAACAGCUCCUACCUCAACGACCUCAUGUCCCUCGGCGCCAACGACGGCGUCGACAUGUUCAGCUGGGACAACAAGCUCGCCGGAGCGCGCGUCCUACUGUCACGGAGGGCUCUGUUGGACGGGGACAAGAGGCUGGAGCCGUUCACGCGUCAAGCGGAGGAGUUCAUCUGCCGCGUCCUGCCCAAGUCCAGCUCCCCUACGUCGACGACGCCGUACACGCCGGGCGGGCUGAUGCACCGGUCGGGCAACGCCAACCUGCAGUACGUCGCCUCCGCGAGCUUCCUGCUCACCACCUACGCCAAGUACAUGGCCGUCUCCAACCGCGCCUUCUCCUGCCAGAACCUCCCCGUCACCUACAAGGCCCUCAGGGCCCUGGCCAAGAGGCAGGUGGACUACGUGCUGGGCGACAACCCGCUGGGGAUGUCCUACAUGGUGGGCUACGGCGCGCGCUCCCCGCAGAGGAUACACCACAGGGCGUCCUCCAUGCCGUCCGUGGCCGCGCACCCGGCGCACAUCGGCUGCCAGGAGGGUUUCCAGGGCUACCUCUACGCCGGCGGCCCUAAUCCCAACGUGCAUACCGGCGCCGUCGUCGGCGGGCCGGACCAGAACGACGUUUUCCCGGACGACCGCGCCGACUAUGCGCGGUCGGAGCCCACCACGUAUACCAACGCACCCCUCGUUGGUUGCCUCGCCUACUUUGCCGGCAGCUACAAGAAAUGA
Molecule: ribosomal RNA, 1497 nt
Filed under: Triticum aestivum (bread wheat)
Lineage: Eukaryota; Viridiplantae; Streptophyta; Magnoliopsida; Poales; Poaceae
Description: partial small subunit ribosomal RNA
Source: RNAcentral